This 486-nucleotide long non-coding RNA is filed under the name Bos taurus (domestic cattle). Its description in RNAcentral is "long non-coding RNA NONBTAT016219". Lineage: Eukaryota; Metazoa; Chordata; Mammalia; Artiodactyla; Bovidae. The record is from RNAcentral.
AGGGGAAUGUCUCUCUAUCAUUUUAAAGUUUUGGAUUUUUGUCUUAUUUUACUCAUUAUCACAUUUUGAGUGAUGUCUUCUGGCUCCAGCUCAGCUUCCUCCAGAUAAUUCAUUAGGCCUGUGAGCUGCUCGAGAGUGGGAUUAGAACCCGUGUAGUACAUGGUCGCUUUAAACUGAGAUCUGCUAAUUAAUCACUCUUCUCUGUGUAACUGAGCGAUAGCUCUCCUUCCCUAAGGAACUGCAAUUUCAUGGUUCCUAAUGAUGCUGCGAUUACAUUAUCUGGAUCACUUAGACGGUGGGUGUCAGGAGCGAUGCUCGAAGCCCGUCUCGAGGCUGGGGAGAAAUCACUCCUAAGACCAAGGAGAUGAGGAAAAGGAGUUCAAACGUCUGUUGCUAAUUUUCAUUAAUGUGUCGCUGUUUCUUACAUCUCAUGCAGACGUUAGUUUCAAGUUCCAAUAUCCUCCAGUUCCACCGAACCUCACAUUG